Molecule: long non-coding RNA, 1958 nt
Organism: Oreochromis aureus
Lineage: Eukaryota; Metazoa; Chordata; Actinopteri; Cichliformes; Cichlidae
Source: Ensembl
GUUGUUUCAAAUGACAAUCCAAAUAGCUGAUAAGGAUUUAGGAAAUAUUUAUUGAAAUGUAAGAGCAGAGAAAGGCAACUUACUUUUAAGAAUUCGUGGAAAAUAUAAAAACAGUAAUAUCUGUUUUAUCCUUUUAGUUUUGAUUUCACAUCUACAGUUAUUAUGCCAUCGUGGGUUACACCCCAAUUGUGAUUGUUUUUUACGGUUAUGCCACAAAUUGUCAUGGUGAACAUAAUACCUGGUUUGCACAAUUAUCCUAUCAUUGAUAUUUUGUUGUUUGUUAUUUGUAUUACAUGAUGUCUGUUAAAAAAACAAACAACAAAAAAAAAACACUUGCACUUCUAAAUGAAGACAAAAGCUCAAUUCAGUGAUUAAAAGAUUUAAAGUCAUAUUUUAGAUAUGAAAAUAAUGUUCAGCAAGCACUGGACAUUGAGUUCUUAAAUCAAAGAGGGGAGAUAUGAAAUCAAACCCUCUGCCAUGCAUUUGGUUAACAAGUGAUACGUGGUUUUCAUCCUUUCAAGCGUCUUCUGAAAGAAACUCUGAAGCACUUGGCUGAAUUUAUCCUCAUCCAUAUCUUCAUCAAACUGCGCACACUUUUCAUAGUCUGCAUAUGGAAUUUAGGAAAGGAAAUGACAAUAAAAUGUUAAAACUUGAACAGAUUUAUAUAUGCAAACUCAAGAGUGACACGGAGUAUGCUACAUCAUCAUAAAAUCAUCAUGCUGCCCACAAGACACAAAAACACAUAUUUGAAAGAGGAAAGAGGAUCAUUUUCAUCUGUGCUAUCUGUUCCUUUUUUUGGUUGCUGUAAAAGUCUCACCAUGAUCAGUGUUGAAGAGUUGGGGUUUGGACCAGCCCAGACACUCUGCCUGUGUCUCAAACUCCGUCAGCUCAGCAGCAGAAACAGCUGUUCGUCUACCUGGUGAAGCAGUGACACAUCAGAGAUAAAAGGCUUGUGAUAAUAUGAUGGAUUGUAUUGAACCUUGUAUUUCUCACAGCAUGCAUUUUGCUUUUUGGUUAACUACAUAAGGAAAAUUACAAAUUAUGAAUGGUCUAAAGCCCCCAGCCCUGCCACCUUACUGAAGAGCAAAAGAUGACUUUUAUCCUCUUUAGUGACGAGGCAGUCAGGACAGCCAGUUUGCAGCAGCACGUCUGGUUUAUCAGCUGUGGCAUCUGCAUCUGUUGGAUUAAAGUCAUUUAAAGUGUUUAAAUGGUAGUACAGCUACAGCUUGUAGUUAGAGGAUAUUUAAAAGGAAAACCUCUUACUUUCACUGUCAACUUCAAAUAUGCUGCUGUUUGCAUAGAUAAAUGUUGUGGUUCCGUUGAUACAAACUCCAUUCCUGCAACAUUCAUCAUUACAAAUUUAACAACUGAAAGAACAGCUGAACAAUGUUAACACGUUAAAUGCUCUUAAUUAAACUAAAAAUCAAAAAAUAAAACAUUACUUACGCUUUCAAAUAAGUAGUAUCACCAUAGAGGUUUGGUGUGCCCUUAGAAAUUACAUCCACUGCAGCACUUGGGGAAAAUAAAGCACUGACUAAUGUUGAAGUCAGGCAAAACUCUGUGGACACAGCUAUGAAGUACCACCUCCCAGGCAGCUGAAAUAAAAGAGUUUUUUUUUUAAUUGAUUGAUUCAUUAUUUAUUUUGGAAAUUCACAAAAAAAACCCCAUUCUGAAUAUUUUCCCUCCAACACAUUUCAGGAAAAAAAAUGCAAGUUUUAACAGUUGGAACAAAACAAAUGUGGAAAGACACUCACAUCUGGACGUUGAUCGACUGGCUUUAACAGCUUCUCACAGGCCAGCGAUGCAGGCUGGCCCACUGAGAUGAGACUCAGCAAAACAAGAGCAGCACUCAAAGUCUUCAUCCUCACAGAUAUGAUGUGUUCUCUAAUGCCCCUUGUUGUUAUCAGCUCUGCCUUAAACUAAUAUCGCCAACCAGUUAUUUUUCUGCUUCAUCCACC